AGGUUGGGGAAGGCUGGUCUAGGAUGACUCUCUCUCUCUCUCUCUCUCUCUCUCUCUCAAACGCACACACACACACACAGAGAGAGAGAGAAAGAGAGAGAGAGAGAGAGUGUGUACUAGGCCUGCCAGAGAUCUCUU
Non-coding RNA from Podarcis lilfordi (Lilford's wall lizard), 138 nucleotides. NCBI's taxonomy places the organism in Eukaryota, Metazoa, Chordata, Lepidosauria, Squamata, Lacertidae. The record is from the annotation of a GenBank genome assembly.